GAUGAACGCUGGCGGCGUGCCUAAUACAUGCAAGUCGAGCGAACAGACGAGGAGCUUGCUCCUCUGACGUUAGCGGCGGACGGGUGAGUAACACGUGGAUAACCUACCUAUAAGACUGGGAUAACUUCGGGAAACCGGAUCUAAUACCGGAUAAUAUAUUGAACCGCAUGGUUCAUUAGUGAAAGACGGUUUUGAUGUCGCUUAUAGAUGGUUCCGCGCCGCAUUAGCUAGUUGGUAGGGUAACGGCUUACCAAGGCAACGAUGCGUAGCCGACCUGAGAGGGUGAUCGGCCACACUGGAACUGAGACACGGUCCAGACUCCUACGGGAGGCAGCAGUAGGGAAUCUUCCGCAAUGGGCGAAAGCCUGACGGAGCAACGCCGCGUGAGUGAUGAAGGUCUUCGGAUCGUAAAGCUCUGUUAUUAGGGAAGAACAAAUGUGUAAGUAACUAUGCACGUCUUGACGGUACCUAAUCAGAAAGCCACGGCUAACUACGUG
Molecule: ribosomal RNA, 497 nt
Filed under: uncultured bacterium
Lineage: Bacteria
Description: partial 16S ribosomal RNA
Rfam family: Bacterial small subunit ribosomal RNA
Source: RNAcentral